Molecule: ribosomal RNA, 539 nt
Filed under: uncultured Geobacteraceae bacterium
Lineage: Bacteria; Pseudomonadati; Thermodesulfobacteriota; Desulfuromonadia; Geobacterales; Geobacteraceae
Description: bacterial SSU rRNA
Rfam family: Bacterial small subunit ribosomal RNA
Source: RNAcentral
GAGUUUGAUCCUGGCUCAGAACGAACGCUGGCGGCGUGCUUAACACAUGCAAGUCGAACGGGAUCCAGAGCUUGCUCUGGUGAGAGUGGCGCACGGGUGAGUAACGCGUGGAUAACCUGCCCUGGUAUCUGGAAUAACAUCUCGAAAGGGGUGCUAAUACCGGAUAAGCCUACGGAGCCUUCGGUCUCUGCAGGAAAAGGUGGCCUCUAUUUAUAAGCUACCGUAUCAGGAUGGGUCCGCGUACCAUUAGCUAGUUGGUAGGGUAAUGGCCUACCAAGGCUACGAUGGUUAGCUGGUCUGAGAGGAUGAUCAGCCACACUGGAACUGAGACACGGUCCAGACUCCUACGGGAGGCAGCAGUGGGGAAUUUUGCGCAAUGGGGGAAACCCUGACGCAGCAACGCCGCGUGAGUGAUGAAGGCUUUCGGGUCGUAAAGCUCUGUCAGUAGGGAAGAAAUGAGACGUGCUAAUACCACGUUUUCUUGACGGUACCUACAAAGGAAGCACCGGCUAACUCCGUGCCAGCAGCCGCGGUAAUAC